Molecule: ribosomal RNA, 2173 nt
Filed under: Triticum aestivum (bread wheat)
Lineage: Eukaryota; Viridiplantae; Streptophyta; Magnoliopsida; Poales; Poaceae
Description: partial small subunit ribosomal RNA
Source: RNAcentral
GGACAGUGAUUAGUCCUGUAUCCAAUGAGAGAGGAAGGACACGUAACCCGUAGACACACACGGAUCCAGCGCUACGUCGAGGAAUCAACGGAUUACGUGGCUGCCUCCCUCAUGUUUGGAAGUUUAUCUGACUAAAUCAAACCGACUAACAAAUAAGAAUAAGUAACACCUUAUCCUAUCGGUAUACAUAAAUAAAACGGGAGGUAGAAAAUUAAGAUGUAUUUUCAUGUAGUAAAACAAUAAAUAAAUGAUUAUUAUGUUAGAGGUAAUGAAUAGAAGAAAAUUAUACUUUAUUUAGUGGUCGUAGUAUGGAAAUAAUUAAAAGGUAUAACAAGUCAGUAGAUAAACCUCAUUAAAAUAUUAGUUUCGUAACCUGAUAACUCGUUUAACAUUACAGUAAAAUUAGAAUAAUAAAAAGAGUUUACGAAAAUAAUUUAAAAUACGUAUCGACAACCAAUAUCACAUAUCAUGUUGGUGGAAAUCCUAAUAACCACAACCUCAUCACUGAUAUAACGCAGUGCCAAAGUAAGGGAAAAGCGAAAACUUGAACAUGGAUACGGUGUCGGACGAGGUUGGGGAGGAGACUACACCACACCACCCUCUUCCUUCUUCUCGUACGUACGAGAGACAGAUGUAGGUCGCAGGUGUGCCGAUCUAGCUGCCCAGAUUUGAUACCUAAUAACAAAUUAAACACCCAUGGUAAGAUAGAGUCUACAUCAUGUAACACACAUACUUAGUACCACUUACAGUUCGGAUGAAUCCAGUAUGGGUUCAUUCCAUUCAUAUCUACAUAUCACGAAUAUUUUACACCACGAGAUUAUAUUGAAACAAGGAGUCAAUCCUUAAUACAAAAAGAUAUCAAUUUUACGUACACACAACGAUACUACAUAUAUUCACUGUCCCUUGUUUUUUAUUACCUUCUUCCGGGAAAACAAAGAUAAAAUAUUAAUGAGUAGGUAGGACUACGAACUCGUAAAAGAUUGGAGGGGACAAAAUAAGAAAACCACGAUGAACCUACAAAGAUUCCAGAUAAAAAAACAAAAUAAAGUCUUAUGUCUUUCUUAUUCGAUGAUCGUAACACGUUCAUUUGGAUGACGCUAACGUUGACGUUUUUUUUAGUAGUGUACCACACUCGAAUUUAUUUUCCUCGAUUUGACAACACAGUACAAGUCUUAACUAUGAUCUUUUUUAUUAGAUUUGACGUGUAAGACUUUGAUAGAUCUGAGGACGGAAACCCCUUAAUCCAACGAUUCGUAAUGAAACAUUUAUUUACUGUACGAUUGAACAACCAAGUCAAAUCUCGAUAUCCGUCCCCGAACGUCAUCCCCCCUAUAGUAACACCGUCAACUUUUGGUUUCGUAAAUAAGUACUCACAUACUAGACCUGAAGUGAAAAGACUUUCAUACAAUGCUAGGACGAGAACCUUAUUUACCGUACGAUUUUGCAACCAACAACACCACGUAACGUUCCAUGUUGGAAUCAAAAUUUGUAAAACGUAUGAUUGUCUAUACAUAACCUUAAAAUUAAACGUAGAGACGUCGCUGAACUGUUAAGAAGCAGAAAUUGCUGUGCCUAGGCGCCGUGUCAUCCUCUCCACUGCGGCCGGCCGUCGCGGAGUGGCGGUCGAUAACAAACCGCGGCCGUUCCUCUUCCCGCGAAUCCUAGACGACGCAACACGUACCGACAACUUCAAGUCGUAGCGGUACUACACAUAACAAAGAGAUAAAAGGAGUAUAACGGUACAAGGGUUAAAAUGUUUGACGAUACACUACGUGUUACCGGUGCGGUGCGUGACCACUCUAAGUUCCACGUCAGCUCGUUCUCAGUCAAGCUCCACUCCACAGAGUGCAGCUAGAGGACGACGAGUGGUCGCUCCGAGCGACUGCUCGCCGGUCUAGGUGUGCUCCACCUAUAGUGUGUGUGCCGGGAGAGGGGAGGUAGGAAAGAGAAAGGAUGUUGAUAAUACAGAAACAUGGAACAAUAUAACGAGAAAGUAGGUACCACUAUUUCUACAAUUGAGUCAAACUAUUACCUCAGUGUCUAAACAUAGACUAUUAAGAACCUUAAGUUUAACAUUGUAGGUAUGAUUAAACAACCAAACAGAGUUGGUUAUUAAGUUACAUUUGGAUAAUUGUACUUAAAAUACCCAUAUGUAACAGAGGAGGAUACGGUU